AGUGAACGCUGGCGGUAUGCCUAACACAUGCAAGUCGAACGGCAGCACAGUAACUGCUUGCUCUAACGGGUUGCGAGUCGCGGACGGGUGACGAAUACAUCCGACUCUACUUUUUCGUGUGAGCUUACGUAGGGAAACCUACGCCCAUAUCGCACACGACCUUCGGUUGAAAGCAGGGGAUCUUUUGACCUUGCGCGAAUGAAUGAGCCGAUGUGGGAUUAGCUAGUUGGCGGGGUAACGGCCCACCCAGGCGGCGAUCCGUAGCUGGUCUGAUAGGAUGGUCACCCACACUGGAACUGAGACACCGUCCAGGCUCCUGAGGGAGGCAGCAGUGGGGAAUAUUGGACAAUAGGCGCAAGCCUGGUCCAGCCAGACCGAGUGGGUGGAGAAGGCCUUCGGGUUGUAAAGCCCUUUUGUUGGGAAAGAAAAGCAGCAGGUUAAUACCCCGCGGUUCUGACGGUACCCAAAGAAUAAGCACCGGCUAACUUCGUG
Molecule: ribosomal RNA, 492 nt
Filed under: uncultured bacterium
Lineage: Bacteria
Description: partial 16S ribosomal RNA
Rfam family: Bacterial small subunit ribosomal RNA
Source: RNAcentral